RNAcentral lists this ribosomal RNA (506 nucleotides) under uncultured bacterium. RNAcentral's name for it is "partial 16S ribosomal RNA". It matches the Rfam family "Bacterial small subunit ribosomal RNA", at positions 29 to 523 of the family's 1533-position model. The record is from RNAcentral.
AGUGAACGCUGGCGGUAGGCCUAACACAUGCAAGUCGAACGGCAGCACAGGAGAGCUUGCUCUCUGGGUGGCGAGUGGCGGACGGGUGAGGAAUACAUCGGAAUCUACUUUUUCGUGGGGGAUAACGUAGGGAAACGUACGCUAAUACCGCAUACGACCUACGGGUGAAAGCAGGGGAUCUUCGGACCUUGCGCGAUUGAAUGAGCCGAGGUCGGAUUAGCUAGUUGGCGGGGUAAAGGCCCACCAAGGCGACGAUCCGUAGCUGGUCUGAGAGGAUGAUCAGCCACACUGGAACUGAGACACGGUCCAGACUCCUACGGGAGGCAGCAGUGGGGAAUAUUGGACAAUGGGCGCAAGCCUAAUCCAGCCAUACCGCGUGGGUGAAGAAGGCCUUCGGGUUGUAAAGCCCUUUUGUUGGGAAAGAAAUCCAGCUGGUUAAUACCCGGUUGGGAUGACGGUACCCAAAGAAUAAGCACCGGCUAACUUCGUGCCAGCCGCCGCAGUAA